RNAcentral lists this long non-coding RNA (3053 nucleotides) under Pan troglodytes (chimpanzee). RNAcentral's name for it is "long non-coding RNA NONPTRT004349". The record is from RNAcentral. Lineage: Eukaryota; Metazoa; Chordata; Mammalia; Primates; Hominidae.
AAGAACAUUUAUUCUGUUAGGUUGUCUCCUGGAUUUUAUGGUAUUUCAAAUUUUAUGAAACAAGAAAAUAUAAAGAAAGUCUUUCUGAAAAAAAAAUGUGGUGGAAUUCCUAUUAUUGAAAUAGCAACAUUUGCGAAAAAGGGAUGGGAGAAGAUGAACUAAAGCCAUAAUUCUUGAUGUCUCCCUCCCACUUCCCAAGUAGUGACUUCCAAAUCUGAUUUCUUGCAACUAGCCCUCUGUCCAUUUUUCUUAUUUGUUAUCAAAGAGACCCCAAGUGAAGAGGGAGUCAUAUCAAAAUGGGGAAUUCAGACGGGAUGCGGUGGCUCAUGCCUGCAAUCCCAGUACUUUGGGAGGCCGGGGCGGGUGGGUCACCUGAGGUCAGGAGUUCAAGACCAGCCUGGACAACAUGGUGAAACUCUGUCUGUACUAAAAAUACAAAAAUUAGCUAGAGGUUAUGGUGUGCACCUGUAACCCCAGCUGCACAGGAGGCUGAGGUGGGAGAAUUACUUGAACCCCAGAAGUCUAAGAUAUUGGUUGCUUUAUUUUUACUUGAAACCAUAGGAAUAUCUCAGUUUUAUCAAUUUAGCAACAUUCUUAGAUUAUUCAAAACAAAAAGUGCUUAAAGAGGACCAUAUACUUAGAGCCACUCUGAGAUGAGAAUAUAUACAAGAGUAGGCAAGGUCCCCCAUCCCAAGAAUUCUGGCACCUACAUUUUAGAGGUUUAUCGCUCCCUUUUUUUAAUUAUAUUAUUAUUUUCUGUCCUUAUGCUCUUUCUUUUUUUAAGCUUCUUGGCUUUUCUUGUGUCUAUCUAAGGUUCUUUACAGUGUCCAGAGGUAUUUAAAUGAAAGAGGCUCAUACGUUUCUUAACAACAAACCCAAGAGACAAAUACCCAAUAUUUGUGUGUGUUAUAUACUUUCUUAAUUGGAACUUUAAAUACCAUGCCAAUAUAUGCAGUUUACAGCCCACCACAUUUUUCCUCAUGAAAACUUUAGACCUAAAACCAUAAAAACCCUAGAAGAAAACCUAGGCAAUACCAUUCAGGACAUAGGCAUGUGCGAGGACUUCAUGUCUAAAACACCAAAAGCAAUGGCAACAAAAGCCAAAAUUGACAAAUGGGAUCUAAUUAAACUAAAGAGCUUAAUGACACUAAAACAGUAGCGCACAAAAACAGUGUUUUUUUUGAUGACUAUUUGCUGUGGUUAAUAAUGUAUUGGUAGUCCGGGCAUGGUGGUUCAUGCCUGUAAUUCCAGCACUUUGGAAGGCUGAGACAGGAGGAUCACUUUAGGUCAGGAAAGAGGCCUCAGAAGAAAACAACCUUACUGACACCUUGACCGUGGACUGCUAGCAUCCAGAUCUAUGAGAAAAUUCAUUGCUGUUUUUUGUUUGUUUCUCCUGGGCUCAAGCUAUCCUCCCACCUCUGCCUCCCUGAGAGCUGGGAUUACAGGCAUGAGCCACCGUGCCCAGCUUAAAGUUGUAUUUUAUUUUACUUUGUUCAGGUAAGCCAAAGCCAAUAAAUUUAAUGCACAGGGAUUUUCCUUUGCUGGGGGACAGCUUCAGUUGCAAUGAGAAAGAGCUGAUUUUAUGGAAAGAGAUAAGCUUGAUGAAGAAUUGACAAACAGGAGGUCUGAGAUUUGUUUGCAGAAAUAUUGUUGACUUGCUCGGUGGAUUGGACAAUCACCCACUGAGUACUAUAGCCUCCUUCACUUAAAAAGAAGAAAACUCUCUUCACUUUUCUCAUAGCUGUCUCUAGCUGACAGCACAUCAUAAAGUGUGCUUCAUUUUUUUUUUUUUUUGCCUUUAUUGCUAUGUUUAAAGUUCUUGAGAAUGCAUUGAACCAGCUGGUUUGGUACAUAAUUGGAACUGAGUAGUACACAGGAAGGUUUAAAAAAAGUUAUCCCCUUCCUCCAGAGGUCGUAGUCAUGGAAACCUGCUAAUACCUUUAAAUAAAAUAUAUCCAUUCUUUCAAAGGAAAACUUGAACACCAUGUAUAAAGAUAAAUGUUUUAUGAAAUAAUGCAGGUUGGCUUGGAGAUAUUCUCCUUUGUCACAGUAAUUAUUUUACUUUCCCUUUUACACUAGAUGAAUGUAUUAGUCAAUGUUCUCUAGAGGGACAGAACUAAUUGAAUAUGUAUAUAUAUAUAAAGGGGAGUUUAUUAAGAAUUAACUCACACGAUCACAAGGUCCCACAAUAGGCUGACUGCAGGCUGAGGAGCAAGGAGAGGCAGUCCGAGUUCCAAAACUGAAGAAAUUGGAGUCCAGUGUUCCAGGCCAGGAAGCAUCCAGCACAGGAGAAAGAUGUAGGCUGGGAGGCUAGGUCAGUCUAGCCUUUCCACAUUUUUCUGCUGCUUAUAUUCUAGCCGCGCUGGCAGCUGAUUAGAUGGCGCCCACACAGAUUAAGGGUGGGUCUGCCUUUCCCAGCCCACUGACUCAAAUGUUAAUCUCCUUUGGCAACACCCUCACAGACACACCCAGGAUCAAUACUUUGUAUCUUUCAAUCCAAUCAAGUUGACGCCCACUCUCAGCAGUGAGGCAACCAAUACCAUUUUUAAGCACUUUUUACUACCUAGAAAUGCCCAGGAUUUAUAUUUGUUUAAAAUUUUCAGGGUCUUUGAAGAGGCAGCUGCCUGCCUGAAAACAUCUCUUAUGGGUUCCGUGAUAUUCCAAUACAUUUGCUACAGUGGAUCAAGUCAUCUUCUAUAGAAAACCAUCUUUCUCUUACCAAGUGCCAACAAGCCAUCAGGGAGGGUUAACACAUUAAAGCAUAACCCCUAAUGUUACAUCUACAUUUCACAGCACAGGACAGAAUGCAGAAGGAAUAGAUUUUUGGAACAAAUCUGUCCAGGCCAUGUAUUAUGGUCUGAGUUGUUUAUGUCUACCCCAAAUUCCCAUGUUGAAAUCAAAUCACCAAUGUGAUAGUAUUAGGAGGUAGAGUCGUUAAGAGGUGAUUCCACCCUCAUCAAUGGAGUAAGUACUGUUAUAAAAGAGGCCCCAGGGGCUGGGUGUGGUGGCUCAAGCCUGUAAUCCUAAGACUUUGGGAGGCUGAGGUGGGUGGA